This 1312-nucleotide long non-coding RNA is filed under the name Triticum aestivum (bread wheat). RNAcentral describes it as "long non-coding RNA (TAES_LNC013889)". Lineage: Eukaryota; Viridiplantae; Streptophyta; Magnoliopsida; Poales; Poaceae. The record is from RNAcentral.
AGCCACAGAAAUUCUGAAGAACGACAUAACAUAGAGAAGGAAAAAAAAGGCCGUCAUGGCAAUAUUCAACAAGAACACAAGUGCCCAGUGCUUGUUGGCUCUUGUGCUCAUCGCUACUGUCAUUUCGUCUUGCGAUGCGUUUGGCCCAGGUACGUGCGUCUCUGACCUAACUAUAAGUCAAUGUAGUUUUGCCAUGUGAUGCUAAUUUUCUAUGUAUUUCACAAUAUUGAGUUGUAUGGAUCUUAUGGCAUCUGGUCCAUGCUGAAGCGUAACUUGCCAUGUUGUGCGGGUAUUCUUCUAACAAUGUUUUUUUGUGUGAACAUGUAGAAGGAGGAUGUUUCAGGCCUUUCCUGAGUUGCGAUCUGGACUUAUGCAGGCGUGACUGCAAUGGUUUAUUUGCCUCUUGCCAAAUGAUAGGCGAGUUUCACCACCGAUGUUGUUGCGCUCCCAAGAAACUCAGUGCAUCUAUUGAUAAGAAUAGUCAUCCUUGAGAUAUGCAUUCCGAAAUUAUAGUUUAUAUGUCACUGCUUUUUCCUGGAUCCAAUUUUGCAUGACUGAGUUAAAUUUAUCGCAAUUGAAAAAAUAUCGCUCCCGAGAUAUUUACGUAUCGCAUGAAACCAUAAUGCUUUGUUUGGAUGUUCAUAUUCAAACUUCAACAAUGAUAUUGGGGCCAAUAUCAAUUCAACUUGGACAUUGACAUUGACACGUAAGAUAAAUUCUGCUGUUUGGAUGCUGAUAUAUUUGACACUUAAACAGUGACAUUGAGACCUGUAAGUGCAUCUAGUGCCCCUUAGUGAUUUUGGUGUAUUGAAGACUUAGAGGUUAAGAGACUAAUGUGUUUGUGACUGUACAUAGGUCUAUAAGUCUAUGAGGAGUUUGAUAUUUACAGAAAAAGUCGACCCCUAAAAAUGAAUGUCUUCAACUGAAGACUUUGGCUUUCUGAAGACUUUGAAAGUGAAGAAAUUGGUGUGACCGUGAAGACUUGAUAUUCCUGCGAGGAACAUGAAGCGUGAAGACUUUUGUUUUCGUAGUUUCAUUUUCUCUUUCUUGACUCAUAGGAAACACCAUACUGUUAAAGGGGGUCGAGGAAAAACUAAGAAAAAGUUUCCAAGUGAUGCUCAUCUCAAAAUCCUACACCUACCAAUCCCUUCGAGUGAAGCCAUUAGAAAUCUCAUACAGAUCAGUCAAUUUCUUCAGUGACAGAGACGAAGUUCUUCUGGUCUCUGAGAAUUUGUUCUGACUGAGGAGAUAGGAAUUCGCCAGUGCGGAUUGCCUACAAAUGAGGAACAUGAUAGUCCUGAGGAAUUUGAAC